UCCAGACUCCUACGGGAGGCAGCAGUGGGGAAUAUUGCACAAUGGGGGAAACCCUGAUGCAGCGACGCCGCGUGAGCGAAGAAGUACCUCGGUAUGUAAAGCUCUAUCAGCAGGGAAGAAGAUGACGGUACCUGACCAAGAAGCUCCGGCUAAAUACGUGCCAGCAGCCGCGGUAAUACGUAUGGAGCAAGCGUUAUCCGGAUUUACUGGGUGUAAAGGGAGCGUGGACGGCAGCGCAAGUCUGGAGUGAAAUGCCGGGGCCCAACCCCGGAACUGCUUUGGAAACUGUGCAGCUGGAGUGCAGGAGAGGUAAGCGGAAUUCCUAGUGUAGCGGUGAAAUGCGUAGAUAUUAGGAGGAACACCAGUGGCGAAGGCGGCUUACUGGACUGUAACUGACGUUGAGGCUCGAAAGCGUGGGGAGCAAACAGGAUUAGAUACCCGAGUAUGA
RNAcentral lists this ribosomal RNA (448 nucleotides) under uncultured bacterium. RNAcentral describes it as "partial 16S ribosomal RNA". It matches the Rfam family "Bacterial small subunit ribosomal RNA", at positions 330 to 794 of the family's 1533-position model. The record is from RNAcentral.